Molecule: ribosomal RNA, 459 nt
Filed under: Escherichia coli
Lineage: Bacteria; Pseudomonadati; Pseudomonadota; Gammaproteobacteria; Enterobacterales; Enterobacteriaceae
Also listed under: 1 other name
Description: bacterial SSU rRNA
Rfam family: Bacterial small subunit ribosomal RNA
Source: RNAcentral
CCCGCAACGAGCGCAACCCUUAUCCUUUGUUGCCAGCGGUCCGGCCGGGAACUCAAAGGAGACUGCCAGUGAUAAACUGGAGGAAGGUGGGGAUGACGUCAAGUCAUCAUGGCCCUUACGACCAGGGCUACACACGUGCUACAAUGGCGCAUACAAAGAGAAGCGACCUCGCGAGAGCAAGCGGACCUCAUAAAGUGCGUCGUAGUCCGGAUUGGAGUCUGCAACUCGACUCCAUGAAGUCGGAAUCGCUAGUAAUCGUGGAUCAGAAUGCCACGGUGAAUACGUUCCCGGGCCUUGUACACACCGCCCGUCACACCAUGGGAGUGGGUUGCAAAAGAAGUAGGUAGCUUAACCUUCGGGAGGGCGCUUACCACUUUGUGAUUCAUGACUGGGGUGAAGUCGUAACAAGGUAACCGUAGGGGAACCUGCGGUUGGAUCACCUCCUUACCUUAAAGAAGC